Molecule: long non-coding RNA, 790 nt
Filed under: Vitis vinifera (wine grape)
Lineage: Eukaryota; Viridiplantae; Streptophyta; Magnoliopsida; Vitales; Vitaceae
Description: long non-coding RNA (VVIN_LNC002625)
Source: RNAcentral
GAGAGAGAGAGAGAAUAAGUGGAGAACCUAAUUGUAAAGUGUUUGCAUAAUGUCUACUGAAGUUUGUUUAAAUAUUUUAAGAAAGGUUUAAGUUUUGCUUAAUAAUGAUGAAAAUAUGUUAUACAUCAACAAAAGGGUUCAACUUUUGUUGCUUGAGGCCGUUAGCCAGGACCAAACUUAUUAAGUCAGGUUGACUUUUUAACCUAAGCCCAUUGGACCAAUUGAAAAUCUACCCAAGCUUGUGCAAAAUAACAACCUUAUUAAGUCAGGUUGACUUUUUAACCUGAGCCCAAUUGAACCAACUGAAAAUCGACCCAAGCUUGUGCAAAGGUUAUUUUGGGCUUGGGUUGACCCUAACUAACUUGCAGCCAUAAUUUCAGUUGAUAAUUUUGAUACUUACUUCAGUGGGGGCCUACAGUAGUAAGCUUUGAUGGAGGCAGAAGAUAAUGACCGGUUCUCAAUGGUUGCCAUGAUAUGUUUCUAAUCAAAAGGAAAAAGAAUGGUGGUUAUAAUGGUGCAUAGGUGGUGAGAAGAGUGCCCAUGGAUUUUUCAGAUGACUGUGGCAAGAUCAUGAUGACUAUUACACUGGAGAUGAACUUUGCUAUGGUGGUUGGGUUGGAUUGAAGAAAAUAGCAAGAAAUGUUUGUCCCCCAAUGCCUUGGUUUGUAUGACAAGAAAGAAAUGUUAGGAUCUUUGAGGAAAAGUGGAGGAUGAUGAAGAUUUUGUAGGAUCUACUUCACUUCUUUUCUCCCUUCAAGGCCUCGUGUACCGAAGCCUUUCAAUGCAUUUC